Molecule: non-coding RNA, 420 nt
Organism: Ictalurus punctatus (channel catfish)
Lineage: Eukaryota; Metazoa; Chordata; Actinopteri; Siluriformes; Ictaluridae
Source: the annotation of a RefSeq genome assembly
AUGACUUUGAUCCCCGUCUUCAUCUGGACGCUGAUCCUCUGGACUCAAGAAUGCAGAGGUCAAGCCACAGUAACUCAGACUCCUGCAGUGAAAUCUGCUCUUCCAGGAGAAACAGUCACCAUCAACUGUAGAACCAGUCAGGCAGUGUACAAGGACUCAAAUGGUGACUGGUUACACUGGUAUCAGCAGAAACCUGGAGAAGCUCCUAAACUCCUGAUUAAACUUGGGAAUCGGCUACAGUCGGGUAUUCCAGCUCGUUUCAGUGGCAGUGGAUCUGGAUCUGAUUUCACUCUGACCAUCAGUGGAGUCCAGACUGAAGAUGCAGGAGAUUAUUACUGUCAGAGUUACCAUGCCAUCACUGGCUACUGGUUCACACAGUAUUAUAGAGUCAUACAAAAACCUCCCUCAGUCAGAUUGUAG